UAAUAUGCGUUGACGAGGAGAAGUAAGUAUUGCAAGCUCUUUAGAGAGGACCACCACUGGCUGAAAGUGGUCUGAGCCUAGGUAAAACUGAAAUGCACCUUCGAGCAAUUUAAUCGAAAUAAAGUAGAUUAAAUCGGUUCGCUACCGUUACUAGCGCUUAAAGAUGAAGAAUUAUUCUUCAAAUCAGAGUGGAACCACGUCAUUAAACGUCUCUGUC
Non-coding RNA from Lysinibacillus sp. BF-4, 217 nucleotides. NCBI's taxonomy places the organism in Bacteria, Bacillati, Bacillota, Bacilli, Caryophanales, Bacillaceae. The record is from Rfam.